Dromaius novaehollandiae (emu) is the source of this 3715-nucleotide long non-coding RNA. RefSeq lists it as uncharacterized. The transcript is spliced from 2 exons. Lineage: Eukaryota; Metazoa; Chordata; Aves; Casuariiformes; Dromaiidae. The record is from RefSeq and is a predicted model, not a curated record.
GUCCCCCCUCCGCGCACGCCCCGCCCUCCCUCCGCCUCUUCCCCCCGCCCACCGCCGAAAGCCGAGACGGGCCCAUUGACGUCACUUUGACGCCAGAGCGACGCGCGCCCAGGCGCGAGGCUGAAGGAGAGCGAGACACCGGGCCGUUGCCAAGGAACGGGCUGCGCUGACGCGCGCGCUGAUGGAGCCGUCGCCCGGGAGACGGAGGGACGGUGACGUCAGGGCAGAGGGAGGGAGGAGGCACCAGGGUCCCCUGCACCCCCCCCCGCCCGAAGUGGGGGGCGCGGCUCUCCGGGGUCACGUGAUGCGUCUCGUAUGGCGGCGGGUCGCCCCCUGCCGGCGCGCGCGCCGUCCGCCUUAACCGCCGGGGCCGCCGGCCGUUAACCCCCGUGUGGCCGCCAUGCCGCACCGCGGGGCGCCUUUCCCCAGUCCCAACGCACAGCUCGGCAUGCGGCCGCCCACGGCAGCGCCCGUGCGGGGCCAGGGAGCCGCCUCGCCCUCGCAGGGGCUCCCGCUGCCCCUGGUUGCUGCGGAGGAUGGAGGGGCUGCUGCUCACGGCCAGGGACUGGGGGCAGCAGCCCGGCUGUGGGGCUCAGAUGCAAAGGGAAGUGAUAGUAGAGCAGAAGAGUCUAUAUGCACACAGCCCUAUGCUUCUGUGUUUCGCACCUGCGAUGCGAUUCUCUCCGGGCAGUCCGGAAGGGAGGCUUGGGGAGAUCGCCCACCUGCACACAGAGGCUGGAGCAGGCUGGUUGGUAUCCAACCUCACCGUCCUAGAAGGGCCCUGGAGGUUCAUCUCAAGGCCCCCUGUCAAAUGUAAAGUGGGAGACGCACUAGGAUCAAGCAUUUAGGGGUUCAGAGUUGACACAGCAAGUGGCCGAGAUGUUUGUAAAUUUGGUCUCAAAUUCCAGGUUAGCCUUGAAAAUACAUCUUGAAUGCAGUCACCCAGGCUGGCACAUCUGUUAUUCAACUUAAUCCUCUCUAUUAGAGUCAUCCUAGACUUCCUGUCUGACAAGUAAUUACCCAGUCAGCGGAUGGGCUCCCGACCAUUUCAGGAGGCUGAACACCUAACCUGGCAAGUCUGUCAAACACUGGCCAGUUACCCUCACCUUCCCUCCAGAGGAACCAUGCUACCCCAGACAAAUUGGAUUUGCCAGGCUCCUUGAAAUAAGCUGAUGCCUUGGGUGGAAGAUCUACAGCUCUGUGUUUCAUGCUGAAGGUCUCAAGCAACUGAGACAAUUGUUUAACCGGUGGCUGAUAGUCUCCUUAGGGUCCAUGAAUGACUUCUCUAAAGGGCUCAAGAGGGACUCCUCAUAUAAGGAAAGCAAGCUGAUCAUCAGUCAGUGUAAAUUUACUCUACAAAGACAUCUGUGAUGAGAAAAAUGUAGUGGCCUAUAUAAAUCAAAUUACGUGAUAUGUGAGCUCUGUGUCAUCAAUGCAUUUGAGAGCGAUCCAUCAAGAUGUCCCAGGGAAGCAAACAAGACUUUCUCUGCUUCUCUUAACUAAUGAAUUAUAUUGCUUUUGCUACCCUCAGUAGCUUGGGUGCUGGCCCUUUGGAAGGUCGGUUACGUUGCAGGCUCUUUCUCCUAGAAGCAGUAGAUAGGGAAAUACCACCUGAAGCCUCAGGCCUGAAAUUAAACUCCCAAGCACUAUUUAGCUUGUCGAGUGUAUACAAUUCAUGCAGGCAUGGUACACUGUCCCCAUGCUCUUUUAUGGUGACCGGGCAGACUGGAAAUUUGCAGGCCUUGAAAUGCUGGUGGGAAGGAGGCUGGAGAUCUUGUGGCACAGGGAGUCUCUUACAUGGAGGCACUGGUAUGACCUAGGUCAUGGGACUGCUAUGCCAUCCUCUGUAAGGGGGGUAAUAUUAUAUGGCAAAUGCAGGCUAUUGCAACUGUAACAUUCAAUUAGUGCUUACACAGUGCUUUGAGUAACACACAUGAAAAGCUGACAUUAUUAUUAUUGUUAUUAUUAAGCUAACAGUCUGUUCUCCACAGAGCUCAUGAAGAGAAGGUGACGCACAAACAGCAUAUACAGUAGCAACUGCAUGUGAACAUUGCCCCAGGAGUUAUAAAGAAAAAGAUUACCUUAGUAAUGGUUCCUUUGCUGCAGUGGGAUUUUCCUCCCCUUAAUUAUAGCUGCUGUUUUCAUUUGAAAUUGAUUAAGUGUUUUAGGAUGGCAAACAGAACUGAUCUUUUCAAAAAGAAUGCUUGAGACAAACAGCCCCAGCCAGAAAAGUAACAUUUUUAUUUCUUUUUAAAGGAUUCAUGAUUUCUUUCUUCCAAAAUGGGAAGCAGUGGGCUGGAUUUGGUGCUGUCUUAAAUCCUGAUUUUUCCAUCUAAGGAGAGGCUGAUACCUGUGCCAUGGGACUGCCUGGAGAACGGCUGCAGACAGAGGCUGAGAAGGAGACAGGGGGUCCAUGUCUGAAGAUGCUAGGAAUCAGGGGAGCUGGAAACAGCAGGCGGUAGGAAGCAGCAGAGAAGUAGUGUUGGAAAUUGCCUGCAUGGUGAGGGAAGGAAAUCCCUUGACACAUCUGCAAGAAGACUGGCUCUGUGAAAAAGCCUUGCUAGGGCAGGGAAGAGCUACAGAGGCUGCCAUACGUGGGCCCAGAGCUGUGCAACAGGAGUCUGGAGGCUUUGUCUCCCCAUCCUCCACCGAGGUGGCUUCACAGCCCCAGGACACCCCUGACCUGAAGCAUGGCUCUCGAUGGGAACUUCAUAUUCAAACUCUGAAUAAGGAUGUGAAGAUGACAUGGAAGGCCAGAUCCACUUGUGCCCGCUUCUCCUUGCCUUGCCCAGGAUCUUUUCUCUUUGGGAUCCCUACAAACUGGUAAGGGCAAUUCUGCAGCCCUAUUAGAAGUGGUGGGAUACCAGCACCCAUUCAAGAAAUUUGGGAAUCCUUCUAUGGGCAGUCCAGAGGACUGAAGGGAAUCUGACGGUUGCACUUGGCUUUACAGCUGCUAGGGUUUCCAUGAGGUUUUCCCACUUGGGCAAGGUCUGACAGUUUUUCCCAAGCCAGUGCAGAUACCCUUAUUCGGGCCAGAUGUCUGCCCCCUAUGCUUGGUUAGAGGGACAAUCUGUGAGGGUAGGAAGGUAAUUCAGCCUCAUUUGUUUUGGCCUGACCUUCAGCAGGUUGCUACUGCUUUUUACAGAAGCAGCAUGGGAUGCAGAGGUGCCCUUGUGGUGCAGCUGUGGGUGAUGUGGACACGUGCCCAAAAGGAAGUAGACUGAGACAAUGGAAUUCAUUGCACAUGUAUGUUGUUUAUAGCCACCGAUGUUUGCUGAUCACUAUGCUGGAAACAGUGACCCAAAUGUGACAGAUUUUACAUCCCUUUGCUCAAGCCUCUACUCCACUCCCCUUGUUUCUGUGUGAUUCACGCAGAUACAUACACAUCCUUCCCCAGAGACAAAAUGAAUAAGGGCCCCCCCUCACCUUUUUUCCUUAUUAAUGCAUUUGCGUCUGUGAUCUGUCAUGUUUUCACUGCAGUUUGAAAUGGAAAGGCUAUUGCUUUCCUGAUGUCCCAAGUAAUUGCUUAAUCUGCUUGUGCCUGUCUGUACCUCUGGCAGGCAGGGAGUAUGCGCUGACUUUUUUGAAGAGGGUAUUAACAGCAUUUGUCUACUGCAUACCAAACAAAAAUCAGGAGCUUCUCCCUUCCCCCCUCCCUGUCUUGUCUUUGCUCACUCUGAAAGAAAACAGAAACAAAAUAAAAGUCAUAUUUGCA